Long non-coding RNA from Oncorhynchus keta (chum salmon), 536 nucleotides. RefSeq lists it as uncharacterized. The transcript has 3 exons. Lineage: Eukaryota; Metazoa; Chordata; Actinopteri; Salmoniformes; Salmonidae. The record is from RefSeq and is a predicted model, not a curated record.
UCUACAUAGGUUAUGGAAUAUCUACAUAGGUUAUAGAAUAUCUACAUAGGUUAUAGAAUAUCUACAUAGGUUAUAGAAUAUCUACAUAGGUUAUAGAAUAUCUACAUAGGUUAUAGAAUAUCUACAUAGGUUAUAGAAUAUCUACAUAGGUUAUAGAAUAUCUACAUAGGUUAUGGAAUAUCUACAUAGGUUAUAGAAUAUCUACAUAGGUUAUAGAAUAUCUACAUAGGUUAUGGAAUAUCUACAUAGGUUAUAGAAUAUCUACAUAGGUUAUAGAAUAUCUACAUAGGUUAUAGAAUAUCUACAUAGGUUAUAGAAUAUCUACAUAGGUUAUAGAAUAUCUACAUAGGUUAUGGAAUAUCUACAUAGGUUAUAGAAUAUCUACAUAGGUUAUAGAAUAUCUACAUAGGUUAUAGAAUAUCUACAUAGGUUAUAGAAUAUCUACAUAGGUUAUAGAAUAUCUACAUAGGUUAUGGAAUAUCUACAUAGGUUAUAGAAUAUCUACAUAGGUUAUAGAAUAUCUACAUAGGUUAUAG